AUACGUAGGGGGCGAGCGUUGUCCGGAAUGAUUGGGCGUAAAGGGCGCGUAGGCGGCCUGUUAAGUCUGGAGUGAAAGUCCUGUUUUCAAGAUGGGAAUUGCUUUGGAUACUGAUGGGCUUGAGUGCAGGAGAGGUUAUCGGAAUUCCCGGUGUAGCGGUGGAAUGCGUAGAGAUCGGGAGGAACACCAGUGGCGAAGGCGGGUAACUGGACUGCAACUGACGCUGAGGCGCGAAAGUGUGGGGAGCAAACAGGAUUAGAUACCCUGGUAGUCCACACUGUAAACGAUGAAUGCUAGGUGUAAGAGGUAUCGACCCCUUUUGUGCCGGAGUUAACACAAUAAGCAUUCCGCCUGGGGAGUACGGCCGCAAGGUUGAAACUCAAAUGAAUUGACGGGG
Molecule: ribosomal RNA, 397 nt
Filed under: uncultured bacterium
Lineage: Bacteria
Description: partial 16S ribosomal RNA
Rfam family: Bacterial small subunit ribosomal RNA
Source: RNAcentral